ACGGGUGAGUAACGCGUGGGAAUCUACCCAUCCCUACGGAAUAACGCAUGGAAACGUGUGCUAAUACCGUAUACGCCCUACGGGGGAAAGAUUUAUCGGGGAUGGAUGAGCCCGCGUUGGAUUAGCUAGUUGGUGGGGUAAAGGCCUACCAAGGCGACGAUCCAUAGCUGGUCUGAGAGGAUGAUCAGCCACAUUGGGACUGAGACACGGCCCAAACUCCUACGGGAGGCAGCAGUGGGGAAUAUUGGACAAUGGGCGCAAGCCUGAUCCAGCCAUGCCGCGUGAGUGAUGAAGGCCUUAGGGUUGUAAAGCUCUUUCACCGGAGAAGAUAAUGACGGUAUCCGGAGAAGAAGCCCCGGCUAACUUCGUGCCAGCAGCCGCGGUAAUACGAAGGGGGCUAGCGUUGUUCGGAAUUACUGGGCGUAAAGCGCACGUAGGCGGAUCGAUCAGUCAGGGGUGAAAUCCCAGAGCUCAACUCUGGAACUGCCUUUGAUACUGUCGAUCUGGAGUAUGGAAGAGGUGAGUGGAAUUCCGAGUGUAGAGGUGAAAUUCGUAGA
Molecule: ribosomal RNA, 557 nt
Filed under: uncultured bacterium
Lineage: Bacteria
Description: bacterial SSU rRNA
Rfam family: Bacterial small subunit ribosomal RNA
Source: RNAcentral